UCGAACGGGGUUGCGGCGCUUGCUCUGUGGGAUCGGUGGCGAACGGGUGAGUAACACGUGAGCAACCUGCCCCUGACUCUGGGAUAAGCGCUGGAAACGGCGUCUAAUACUGGCCCUGGGUCGUGUCUUAAUGGUCUGCGUUUGGAAAGAUUUUUCGGUUGGGGAUGGGCUCGCGGCCUAUCAGCUUGUUGGUGAGGUAAUGGCUCACCAAGGCGUCGACGGGUAGCCGGCCUGAGAGGGUGACCGGCCACACUGGGACUGAGACACGGCCCAGACUCCUACGGGAGGCAGCAGUGGGGAAUAUUGCACAAUGGGCGGAAGCCUGAUGCAGCAACGCCGCGUGAGGGAUGACGGCCUUCGGGUUGUAAACCUCUUUUAGCAGGGAAGAAGCGAAAGUGACGGUACCUGCAGAAAAAGCGCCGGCUAACUACGUGCCAGCAGCCGCGGUAAUACGUAGGGCGCAAGCGUUAUCCGGAAUUAUUGGGCGUAAAGAGCUCGUAGGCGGUUUGUCGCGUCUGCUGUGAAAUCCCGAGGCUCAACCUCGGGCCUGCAGUGGGUACGGGCAGACUAGAGUGCGGUAGGGGAGAUUGGAAUUCCUGGUGUAGCGGUGGAAUGCGCAGAUAUCAGGAGGAACACCGAUGGCGAAGGCAGAUCUCUGGGCCGUAACUGACGCUGAGGAGCGAAAGGGUGGGGAGCAAACAGGCUUAGAUACCCUGGUAGUCCACCCCGUAAACGUUGGGAACUAGUUGUGGGGUCCAUUCCACGGAUUCCGUGACGCAGCUAACGCAUUAAGUUCCCCGCCUGGGGAGUACGGCCGCAAGGCUAAAACUCAAAGGAAUUGACGGGGACCCGCACAAGCGGCGGAGCAUGCGGAUUAAUUCGAUGCAACGCGAAGAACCUUACCAAGGCUUGACAUAUACGAGAACGGGCCAGAAAUGGUCAACUCUUUGGACACUCGUAAACAGGUGGUGCAUGGUUGUCGUCAGCUCGUGUCGUGAGAUGUUGGGUUAAGUCCCGCAACGAGCGCAACCCUCGUUCUAUGUUGCCAGCACGUAAUGGUGGGAACUCAUGGGAUACUGCCGGGGUCAACUCGGAGGAAGGUGGGGAUGACGUCAAAUCAUCAUGCCCCUUAUGUCUUGGGCUUCACGCAUGCUACAAUGGCCGGUACAAAGGGCUGCAAUACCGUGAGGUGGAGCGAAUCCCAAAAAGCCGGUCCCAGUUCGGAUUGAGGUCUGCAACUCGACCUCAUGAAGUCGGAGUCGCUAGUAAUCGCAGAUCAGCAACGCUGCGGUGAAUACGUUCCCGGGUCUUGUACACACCGCCCGUCAAGUCAUGAAAGUCGGUAACACCUGAAGCCGGGUCCUAACCCCCGGGA
RNAcentral lists this ribosomal RNA (1375 nucleotides) under Microbacterium sp. B-3029. RNAcentral's name for it is "16S ribosomal RNA". It matches the Rfam family "Bacterial small subunit ribosomal RNA". Lineage: Bacteria; Bacillati; Actinomycetota; Actinomycetes; Micrococcales; Microbacteriaceae. The record is from RNAcentral.